GUAACGGCGAGUGAAGCGGCAACAGCUCAAAUUUGAAAUCUGGCUCCUUCGGGGCCCGAGUUGUAAUUUGCAGAGGAUGCUUCGGGUACGGGCUCCUUCCGAGUUCCCUGGAACGGGACGCCAUAGAGGGUGAGAGCCCCGUCUGGUAGGAAACCCAGCCCGUGUGAAGCUCCCUCGACGAGUCGAGUAGUUUGGGAAUGCUGCUCUAACGGGAGGUAUACUCCUUCCAAGGCUAAAUACCGGCUGGAGACCGAUAGCGCACAAGUAGAGUGAUCGAAAGAUGAAAAGCACUUUGAAAAGAGAGUCAAAUAGCACGUGAAAUUGUUGAAAGGGAAGCGCUCGCUACCAGACAUGGGUUCGGCGGUUCAACCGGGGCCACGCCCCGGGGCACUCCGCCGGCCCAGGCCAGCAUCAGCUUUCCGUCGGGGGCAAAGGCGUCGGGAAUGUGGCUCCCCUCCGGGGGAGUGUUAUAGCCCGGCGUGUCAUACCCUUCGGGGGGCUGAGGUACGCGCUUCUGCAAGGAUGCUGGCGUAAUGGUAGCUAGUGACCCGUCUUGAAACACGGACCAAGGAGUCAACCUUAUGUGCGAGUGCCCGGGCGUAAAACCCCAGCGCGGAAUGAAAGUGAACGUAGGUGAGAGCUUCGGCGCAUCACCGACCGAUCCUGAUGUCCUCGGACGGAUUUGAGUGAGAGCAUAUAGGGUUGGACCCGAAAGAAGAUGAACUAUGCGUGUGUAGGGUGAAGCCAGAGGAAACUCUGGUGGAGGCUCGCAGCGGUUCUGACGUGCAAAUCG
RNAcentral lists this unclassified non-coding RNA (793 nucleotides) under Gibellulopsis fusca. Its description in RNAcentral is "Cephalosporium serrae var. fuscum sequence contains 28S rRNA gene". It matches the Rfam family "Eukaryotic large subunit ribosomal RNA", at positions 83 to 900 of the family's 3401-position model. The record is from RNAcentral. Lineage: Eukaryota; Fungi; Ascomycota; Sordariomycetes; Glomerellales; Plectosphaerellaceae.